CCUACCCUUGACAUGUCAGGAAGUCCGCAGAGAUGUGGAUGUGCUCGAAAGAGAACCUGAACACAGGUGCUGCAUGGCUGUCGUCAGCUCGUGUCGUGAGAUGUUGGGUUAAGUCCCGCAACGAGCGCAACCCUUGUCAUUAGUUGCUACGAAAGGGCACUCUAAUGAGACUGCCGGUGACAAACCGGAGGAAGGUGGGGAUGACGUCAAGUCCUCAUGGCCCUUAUGGGUAGGGCUUCACACGUCAUACAAUGGUCGGUACAGAGGGCUGCCAACCCGCGAGGGGGAGCUAAUCCUUUAAAACCGAUCGUAGUCCGGAUUGUAGUCUGCAACUCGACUGCAUGAAGUCGGAAUCGCUAGUAAUCGCGGAUCAGAAUGUCGCGGUGAAUACGUUCCCGGGUCUUGUACACACGCAAUC
This 418-nucleotide ribosomal RNA is filed under the name uncultured bacterium. RNAcentral's name for it is "bacterial SSU rRNA". It matches the Rfam family "Bacterial small subunit ribosomal RNA", at positions 974 to 1387 of the family's 1533-position model. The record is from RNAcentral.